Picea glauca (white spruce) is the source of this 120-nucleotide non-coding RNA. The record is from Rfam. NCBI's taxonomy places the organism in Eukaryota, Viridiplantae, Streptophyta, Pinopsida, Pinales, Pinaceae.
UAUUUCUAUGAAUACAAUGCUAAUGCACCAGAUCUCAUCAAAACUUCACAGUUAAUAACACUUGGUCUAGAUUAGUAUUGUGAUGGGUGACUUUCCGGGAAGUCCUAGUGUUUUACAUGC